This 72-nucleotide transfer RNA is filed under the name Pirellula sp. RNAcentral's name for it is "tRNA-Gln". It matches the Rfam family "tRNA". From Rfam's summary of the family: Transfer RNA (tRNA) molecules are approximately 80 nucleotides in length. Their secondary structure includes four short double-helical elements and three loops (D, anti-codon, and T loops). Further hydrogen bonds mediate the characteristic L-shaped molecular structure. tRNAs have two regions of fundamental functional importance: the anti-codon, which is responsible for specific mRNA codon recognition, and the 3' end, to which the tRNAs corresponding amino acid is attached (by aminoacyl-tRNA synthetases). tRNAs cope with the degeneracy of the genetic code in two manners: having more than one tRNA (with a specific anti-codon) for a particular amino acid; and 'wobble' base-pairing, i.e. permitting non-standard base-pairing at the 3rd anti-codon position. The record is from RNAcentral. RNAcentral also lists the same sequence under 5 other names. Lineage: Bacteria; Pseudomonadati; Planctomycetota; Planctomycetia; Pirellulales; Pirellulaceae.
UGGGGCGUAGUGUAAUUGGUAACACUACAGAUUCUGACUCUGUCAUUUAAGGUUCGAGUCCUUACGCCCCAG